GCUAAACACAUGGCUGCUGAUUGCUUCAGCUGCUGCUCCAUGCAGCCUCGAUAGGAAACACAUGGCAAACAAGCUUUUACACAGCCGGAGGGGGGGGAGGAAUCACUGCAGAGCCGGCGGCGAGGACGGCCAGUUUGCCGACAUGUCUGAACCAGAUGGAAGGAGGUGCCUGCUCCUCUUUCAUCUGCAGGAGCUGAGCCAGUCUGGUGUGUUUGGGAUCAUUGUCCUGUUGAUGAUCCAGUGUGGUCCAAGUUUCAACCGUGGACAGAUGGUCUCACUUCUAACUCUACAAUACUUUGGUCUACAGAGAAGUUCAUGGGCGACUCAGUGACGUGACUGCUAAAAAACACCCUGCGAUUAACGUGUCCAGGCAGCUUCACCGACAUCCCAUCUAAGGACGGACAGAUUUCUCUCAGGCUGCGGAGUCACAGAGCAUUGGCUGAAUCUUCUGCAAACUUUGACCUCACAGCUACAGAAAGCUGAAGGCCUGAUUUCCAUCACGUGUCUGUCACGAGAGACAGAGGGAGACGUCGCGUCUGCUGCAGCUGUCCGAUCACUUAACACAUUACAUCCACGGCAGCGUGACAUCACCACAAACCCGACGUCCGACCGCCCUGGUCCACGUGAACCCAUACCACUCGCACCAAUCGCCACCUGAAAAGGCCAGCUUGGAUGUGAUGGGUUUUUAUAUAAAUGUGAAUUAAUGUGUGCACAGAUCUUAUCAGCGGAGAGACGUGUUGCAAUAAAAGCAUGACCUCUGACCUAAAUCUUC
Girardinichthys multiradiatus is the source of this 772-nucleotide long non-coding RNA. RefSeq lists it as uncharacterized. The transcript is spliced from 5 exons. The record is from RefSeq and is a predicted model, not a curated record. NCBI's taxonomy places the organism in Eukaryota, Metazoa, Chordata, Actinopteri, Cyprinodontiformes, Goodeidae.